Molecule: ribosomal RNA, 261 nt
Filed under: uncultured archaeon
Lineage: Archaea
Description: partial 16S ribosomal RNA
Rfam family: Archaeal small subunit ribosomal RNA
Source: RNAcentral
CAGCCGUAAACUAUGCGCGUUAGGUGUAUCGGUGACCACGAGUUACCGUGGUGCCGAAGGGAAACCGUGAAACGUGCCGCCUGGGAAGUACGGUCGCAAGGCUGAAACUUAAAGGAAUUGGCGGGGGAGCACAACAACGGGUGGAGCCUGCGGUUUAAUUGGACUCAACGCCGGACAACUCACCGGGAACGACAGCAAUAUGUAGGCCAGGCUGAAGACCUUGCCUGAAUCGCUGAGAGGAGGUGCAUGGCGUAGACGUCU